This 75-nucleotide transfer RNA is filed under the name Parabacteroides distasonis. Its description in RNAcentral is "tRNA-Met". It matches the Rfam family "tRNA". From Rfam's summary of the family: Transfer RNA (tRNA) molecules are approximately 80 nucleotides in length. Their secondary structure includes four short double-helical elements and three loops (D, anti-codon, and T loops). The record is from RNAcentral. RNAcentral also lists the same sequence under 12 other names. Lineage: Bacteria; Pseudomonadati; Bacteroidota; Bacteroidia; Bacteroidales; Tannerellaceae.
GGUCCUAUAGCUCAGUUGGUUAGAGCACCUGACUCAUAAUCAGGGAGUCCUUGGUUCAAGCCCAAGUGGGACCAC